Molecule: long non-coding RNA, 1883 nt
Organism: Manis pentadactyla (Chinese pangolin)
Lineage: Eukaryota; Metazoa; Chordata; Mammalia; Pholidota; Manidae
Exons: 4
Source: RefSeq, a predicted model, not a curated record
UCCUACAAAGUAGUUACAAAUUAAGCAAUUGGGCAUUUAAAUUUGAUGCUUAAUGAGAUGGCUUAUUUUAAUUUCUAUUAAUUUUCACUAGCAUGGUAGUGUGCUGAAGAAGUAAGAUCAUUCCAUUCCAUAUCAUGUUUUCUUCUCUCGAUUUAGUCCAUGGUGUGAAUAAUAUCUGAUGAACUGAGAAGACUUGAUUUGCAUUGCUUGUUUUCCAGUCUACCUGGAAAAAGCAGCAAGGUGACCUGCUCGUGUGCGCAGGAUGAUCAUGGAGAGCUCCCGGCAGACAGGCUGCUGCUCUCAGUUCCAGGAUGCAAAGAAGAAGACAAUAGAUUUUGGGUUUCUUGAAGAAAGAAGGCUGGCUGGAAAGAAAAAUCCAUCCAUUUUAAGAUGUGAUGCAGUGUGGUGGAUGCUAUGACAGACAGAUGAGGAAGCCAAAAUUCAGAAGAAUAUACAAGUUGCUUAAUCCCCAGUCAUGCAGCUACCAUAUGGCAACAGUGGCUUUUGAGGUCACUCUGAUCCAAGAAAAUUUGAGGACACUCCACCCACAAUAACAUGUCAUCGAAUAUAAUGCAAUUGCUAAAUGGCUCCCACCCUCCUUUCAACUCUGCUUUUUGGCAGAUGGGCUCAUUACAGUACUUAUCUUUUGGGGAAGAGCUAGGAAAUGACUUCCUACUGAUCAGUUGACACUUGGUCAGUUCAUUAGUCAGUUGUCUACACAUCAAAUAAAUAAAAAUGCUUGAAAGUUUUUAAAUAUUAAAACAUUUUAAAGUAUUAGUUUCUAAAUAACCUUUCAUUAUCCUAACUCUGUAAGUUGCAGCAUUAAAAUUUUUAAACCAUGCUUAUUCCACUAUGGUGUAGCUUAUUGCACUUAAAAAAAUUGUCACCUGAGGUUUCCUUUAGAAUUUAAGUCCUUCCGUAUCUUCCUUCCUUUCUUCCCUCCUUUGUUUCCUUUCUUCGUUCAUUCACUAAAACUUCAUUGCAUCUCCUGCACUGUCCUUAAGGAACUCAGUGGAAUGGGGAUUUGGAGGAGAGUCUUAGCCAGUUUUUUAGGGUUGCAUAGCACAGAGGGCUGUUAAAUACCAACAAUUCUUCCCUCCUGAGAAUAGAACACUAACCUUUAAGCUCAUUUUCAAAUAAAAAAUCCCAUUUCUCGAAGAGUAGCCUGCCCUAAAUGAGUCACUUGUUUUUUGCCCCUUUAUUAUCACAAUAAAACAAAAUUCAUGAAUCACUUGAGUGUUUUGCUGUCACCUCAAGCUGUCAUCUACUCAUCUGGGCCACUUCCCUAAACGUUCUGAGGUCUUUGACACCUGGAAUCCCUAUCCCAGCCAUUCUCUUUGGGGAGCCUUAGUGAUCACAUGGCUGAUCCUUCCAGUGUUCCUUCUCUUGGAGACCUCCUCAGGUCCAGUGAUCCUCUCACCAUCUCCAUUUCAGCUUUUCUGGCCCCACUUUGGAUUACGCUGUCCAGCAAGGCUGCUUCACUCAUGAAGUCUUCAUGGCCGACACCCUCUGUGAUUGCAGCUUCUGACCUCCCUGCCCCAUCACUUCUUCAUUCUGCCAGCUCUUGGAUCUCACUGGGUCCUUCAAGUCCUUCCGCUUCAAGUGUUUCAGUCCUCUUUUGAUUUCACUUUCUUUCCUGGGCAACAUAGACCUUACUGUGUAUCCAUCUGGUGUGUGUUGUGUGUUAGCAUGUAUGCUCUAUCUAUUCUAUUUCAGAUUAUCUGUUUUUACUGAUACAAAAUGUAUAUGCAGUAAAAUGCACAUAUCUUAGAUGUAAAACCUGAAAAAUUUUUGUAUAUGUAUCUAUCACCUAUGUAACCACCACCCAGAUCAAAUAAAGAGCGUUUCCAUUACCCCAUAGAAUUCUGUCCACCUCCUUUCCA